GACGAACGCUGGCGGCGUGCUUAACACAUGCAAGUCGAACGGUGAACGAGGGAGCUUGCUCCCUCCGGAUCAGUGGCGAACGGGUGAGUAACACGUGAGCAAUCUGCCCCGAACUCUGGGAUAAGCGUUGGAAACGACGUCUAAUACCGGAUACGACGCGGGAGGGCAUCCUCUCCGCGUGGAAAGAACUUCGGUACGGGAUGAGCUCGCGGCCUAUCAGCUUGUUGGUGAGGUAACGGCUCACCAAGGCGACGACGGGUAGCCGGCCUGAGAGGGUGACCGGCCACACUGGGACUGAGACACGGCCCAGACUCCUACGGGAGGCAGCAGUGGGGAAUAUUGCACAAUGGGCGCAAGCCUGAUGCAGCGACGCCGCGUGAGGGACGACGGCCUUCGGGUUGUAAACCUCUUUUAGCAGGGAAGAAGCGAAAGUGACGGUACCUGCAGAAAAAGCACCGGCUAACUACGUG
RNAcentral lists this ribosomal RNA (470 nucleotides) under uncultured bacterium. RNAcentral describes it as "partial 16S ribosomal RNA". It matches the Rfam family "Bacterial small subunit ribosomal RNA", at positions 28 to 507 of the family's 1533-position model. The record is from RNAcentral.